GACGAACGCUGGCGGCGUGCUUUACACAUGCAAGUCGAACGGAAAGGCCCUGCUUUUGUGGGGUGCUCGAGUGGCGAACGGGUGAGUAACACGUGAGUAACCUGCCCUUGACUUUGGGAUAACUUCAGGAAACUGGGGCUAAUACCGGAUAGGAGCUCCUGCUGCAUGGUGGGGGUUGGAAAGUUUCGGCGGUUGGGGAUGGACUCGCGGCUUAUCAGCUUGUUGGUGGGGUAGUGGCUUACCAAGGCUUUGACGGGUAGCCGGCCUGAGAGGGUGACCGGCCACAUUGGGACUGAGAGACGGCCCAGACUCCUACGGGAGGCAGCAGUGGGGAAUAUUGCACAAUGGGCGGAAGCCUGAUGCAGCAACGCCGCGUGCGGGAUGACGGCCUUCGGGUUGUAAACCGCUUUCGCCUGUGACGAAGCGUGAGUGACGGUAAUGGGUAAAGAAGCACCGGCUAACUACGUG
This 468-nucleotide ribosomal RNA is filed under the name uncultured bacterium. Its description in RNAcentral is "partial 16S ribosomal RNA". It matches the Rfam family "Bacterial small subunit ribosomal RNA", at positions 28 to 507 of the family's 1533-position model. The record is from RNAcentral.